Long non-coding RNA from Drosophila yakuba, 6706 nucleotides. RefSeq lists it as uncharacterized. The transcript has 2 exons. The record is from RefSeq and is a predicted model, not a curated record. NCBI's taxonomy places the organism in Eukaryota, Metazoa, Arthropoda, Insecta, Diptera, Drosophilidae.
GAUUAACAAUAGAAAAAAACAAAUAUUCGUUUCCAUAAUGAAGUCAUAUUGCUUUGUUAAUAUGAGGUUUCAAAAAUUGGCAACUUCUUUAAACUCCUUUUCGGAGGUGAUUAUUUCUUAUUAAUGCACCAUAAUAUACAAAAUUGGUAAACCCCAAGUGGAUGCCUCCUUAUUAUUUCUUUAAUAACUCUUUACCUUUGGCACACCAACUUUUCAUUUAUCAAUAAUGAAUAAAAUAUAAAAACUUCCCUCGCCCAUGUUGUAAGCUUUAUUGGAGACUGCAACUGAAACAAAAGCAUCCUCCUAUAUUGAUUUUUUUUUAUACUCCUGUAUUUCCACAUAAAUAUGUAUAUACGAGUAUCUGUAUGUGUGUCUGUAUGUUUUGGCGCUUGCCGUGCUGAGCAUUGUUGUUGUUUGUGCUGUCUUAAUUUUUGUUUGACUGAAGCAAUCCUUUCUGCCUCCUGUGUUGCUAUACUUAAAUCAAUCCGUUUAUUCGGAUGGCGUUUUUGGUGGCAGAAUAGUGGUGCGUAACUCAUUUGAUCUUAAUAAAGUUAAAAAAUUAUUUUGAAGUUUGGUUCUGUUUUAAUUACGCUUCGAAAGAUUUAGUUUUUUCAAUAAUCAAGUGUAAGUGUAAUCUUACAAGUGUAAGACAAACAUAUUCGGUUCGACUUUUGGUAUUUAGCCUGUAUUUCUUCGUUUACUUUUAUUUUGGGGCUUUUUGUUUUUUAAGCAUUGUCAGGGCAGCGAAGACAGACAUGAAAACAAAACCCACAUGUGAGCAUUUAAUUUCAACAACUGUCGCUGGAGCUACCAGGCGAAAUUCCAAUACGAAGCAAAGAGGCACUGCAGCCACAUCCACAGCAGCAACAUCUAAGGUAGAAGCGGCACCAACAGCAUCACCAGACUCGAUCUGAGCUCCACAUUCCCCGUCCCAUCUCUUUCUCACUUUUAUACCUCUCCCUUUCUCGAAUUCUCCGAUUGCAGGGAGCAGCGUCGCCGACACCAACGGCCCUCAUGUUGGACACUAAACAGCGGGCGCUGCCAAAUGACAACCGAACUACAUGAAGUACAACAGCAACACCAACAGCAGAGCAGCGACAUCAGAAAGAACAACAACAACAGUGCCCAAGUAACAGUGGGAGCCGCAUUAAUAUGGCCAAGGUAAAGGGUAUUUAAAAGCAGCCACCAAGCCAUGCUGAAAAACCCGAACUCGAACUCCAGCCAGGAGAACCCCGGUGAGGCCAGAAAAAAGACAAGAGGAAUGAGAGUCGAAAAGACAAAUGUGUCUGCACAGUGGUUGUAUACCGAGGACUCGAGCGGCUUAUGAAAAAUAUAACUUUAGCUUAAACAUUCUUUAGGUUAAGCCUCAGUUUGUUUUCAAACCCUUUAACUUUAUAUUAUGAUAACCUAUAUCGUGAGACUGUUAAAGAAAAUAUGGGAAAGAUCGGUAACAUAUUAUUCAACGAAACCACCACCUAUUUUCAAGCAACUUAGUCUAAUUUAGUUCCCAAUUAAAUUUUAAUUAACCCUUUGCAUUAAGGUUCUCAACGCGGAACCACUGUGCCCAAUGGGCGUUGUGUGCUGGCUUGACAGUUCUGUUCAGUUCGCCUGACGUUGGUUGUUCGUUUGGGGGAUACGAGUAUGUUGUUGUGGCUGCCGUUGUUACUGCUACCUCUGCGGUGUGUGUGGGUUUUAUGAACAGGUAGUCUUCGUCUUAUUUGGUUUUUGGCCAACAUUAAGGCCGAAAAGAAAGGAAAGUAAAAGCCUGCACUCGACUGUUCUUCGUUCUUCAGGGUUCUCCUGCUCCUUCCCCAGCUCUCCGAAUUUAAAAAGGAUGAAAAUUAAAACAGUCUUAAAAAACAUGACAGGCAGGCAGUCAGUCGGCCGCACAACCCCGAAAUUAGUUGACAAGGAUGAAAGGAGCAGAAAAGUGGACUGGGACAGAUGAGCCCGAAAAUGAAACCGGCUCAGUGCUGAGUCGUGUUGUUGAUGGAAGAUUUACAUAAUGCAGAUGAUGGUGGUACCGUCGUGUGGGAAUUUUAUUAAUGAAAGAAUUAUGAGACGUUACAUAAUGAGGAGUCCCACACCGACCAACUUGCUGAUGGCAUCGAUAAAGUCCGGUUUUCCUGCGUGUGCGUUUGUUCUCUUUUUCCAUUCGAAGCGGCAUCUAAUAUCGAACGAAUGUCCCCUAACCCACUCGACUCACUCCAAUCGAAUUCAUUAGCCCCAGCUCAUUGUUUGAGUCGACACAACAAAUUAACAAAGUUUUCCGAAGAAAUGCGUAAUUGAGGGUCAGUUAGGAGACCUUUCCGUUGAACUAAUUUGACAACUCUUAGGGCGAAAUUAACGGUCACAUUUGGAUAGGGUUUUGGGGUACUAAAUAUUUUACAUGACAAAGUGGCGCAGAAAAAAAAAACGUAAUGGUAACAUAUGCUGCUUGCUUUAAGCCAAUCUGCGGAUACAAAAUGGAAACUGUUGCCAAUUUCAAAUCGCAAUACGCACCUGUCACAUAAAUCACAGUCCAAAUGUGAUUUAUUACCUAUUCAUAUUAGUUACCUUGGCUCCUGAGGGGCUCCCAGCAACAGCCACACGCUUAUAUAAAAUAAACAAUACAUAUGUAUCUAUGGGAUAUAUUAUGUUCGCUGUCUUGCCAGUUGCAAGACUCCGUCUUGAUUUUUUGUUUUUUUGUUUCUGUAAAAUAUUGAAAUUGAGUGCAAACUACUUGAACUCUUGCCAAAGCCCUGCGUUGCGAACCACCUCGCAGAUACAUUAUUAAAAUGAUAUAAAGUAGCUGAGACAUGAGUGCAAAGUAUUGCAAGUUGCAUGCGAAUUGGCAAUGAACUCCGCCCAAGUGGCUGCCGUGCAAGGUCCUAAGUUAUGGCCAAAACCAUCUCGUUGUGCGGUUAUUUCCAGGAAUUUCUAUCGGAUGCCCCAAAUACUUUGCUGAUCAUGUAAACAUGUAUUCAGCUGAGGCUACGUCAAAAAGUUAUGAAACAUGGAAGUGGUUUGGAAAAAUUUGUUGAUCCAUUGCUUCGCUUAUUAACUACGAUAGAUGUCAUUUCAAACAAUAAAAAAUAAUGUAAAGUACGAUUGUUUCUAGAUUUUCAAAUGUAAGAAUGUACCAAAUCUUAAAUUGUAUUCAUGGUGAUAGAAUAAAAAAAGGCAAGGCUUCGUUAGCCGCAAUUUUAUCUUAAAUUACGCUGGAUAUUACACAUAAAAUUUACGAUACCUGCAAAAAUCCUAAAGCCAUAAGCCACUUAAGUGACUGCGAACUAAGAACCUAAGGUGUACAUAUGUAAAGGUAAAGACGCAAGAUUCUUGAUAUAUAUAAAUUAAAAAACAUGCUCGGCUAUCCAUAUAGAGCUUCUUGUGAAGCAACAAAUUUUAAUUACGAUUUCCGUGCAUUCCACUAAGUCCACUAAGCGCGAUAACAUCUCCUCAUUCCGCAUCCUUUUACAACGACGUUCCAUAAAAACCAGUCUCAAAUGCGUACUUUUUGGCUAUAUUAUGCAGAAGAUACAGAAACACACACUUACAGCAUAAAGCAAGAGAGGAUAGCAACGCUGUUAACUUUUAUUGGUGAGCUUUAAAGCAAAUUUGUCUUGGCCAUUUCACUUGUCUACUGCCUCUUCCUGCUGCAUUAUGGCUAAAAAAGAUUCAUGACACUGCCGUGUAUGCCGUCUAUGCGAACGGCGCAUUCAAAAAUUUUUGAAAACAAUUAGAAUAUUUUAGCUACGACCAGGGGAGACUAUAAAAGUUAUAUGAACAACGCAACGAGUUCUGAGUUAACAACAAAGGCGGGGCAAGCGCGAGGUACCCGGUUGUAAAAAAUUAUGCGCCAAAAUGACUUUGACAGCAGUCGCGACUGGCAAGUAGCGACCAUCCCCCGGUUGGCCUUGUUUUUAUGGUCAUAACUAAGUAUCAGCCAUUGUUGCAUAUGACUUAUAAUUUGGCACACAUUUACGACCUCUUGGGCCGAGGAACCUUAGCCGGAGAAAGACCAAACUCCCGGGGCAACGUCAACAGGCUACAACGAAGCUACUGCUCCGUGAUACAGCAUAAAUGACGCGAGCGUGGGUUGUCAACAAAAUAGGGUAAGUGGUGGUAAAAAAAAAGCCUUUAUAUAAAAUCGGUAUAGAGACAUUUUGGUAAUUCGGAUUAGAUAUGUAUGUGAACCACCCAUUAUCAUCAGCAGCUAGGGCCGCUCAUAUUUUAAAAACCAAUUAUUUACUGCUAAGCAUUGCUAUUAAUAAUGGGUAAUUAAAUUCUGCUAUAUCUCAAUCCCACCUCGCAGCUGUCAUUAGACUCUCUCCGCCAUAUCCCUGGCAGCACCGGCAGAAGGCAAAAUCCACUCCUAUUUUACGGUUUCUUCGUAUCUAUCUGCAUGUCGAUUUAGUAAACGCUAUACGACUUGAAUCGCAGGCCUCACUCACAUCCGAGCACAAGCAAACGGGGCAGGCAACCAAACAACCUUGCAUGCAUGCAUCCAUCCAUCCAUCCAUCCAUCCAUCCAUCCCAACCAUCCAAGCUUUUCCAUCGGCUCGGAAUAAUUUUAUUUUGUUCGCCUGCCACCGCCGCCUGGCCUGUGCUUUCUUUCAUUCGCUGCACAUUUUCCAUUUCAUAAAGCAGCCAGCUCGGCCUGUUUAUGAUUUAAGUUCGCCGGCAGAGGCUGUUUAUUAGAGGCCGACUUCCUUCUCUAUGGAAAGAAAUCCAAAGAGGGUAGAGGACGGGUGGCGAAAUGUCGGCGACGCAUUAAUGAUUGUUAGUGAGUUGUGAAAUUGCUCUAACUGCACUUCAAGCAGCAAAGCAGCAUAGCAGCAAGAGCGGCUUCCACACCAUUUGGCCUGACCAGCAUCGAGAAUCCAGCAUCCGUAUCUGACUCUUUCCGGCAGGUUCUCGGGCUCAGAAGCCAACAAGGCAACGGACCAACCCGUUCGCAUAUUAAAGAGUAAAUUUUUCAAUUUCACAGACAUUAAACGCGGCGGCUGCUGUCUCCGCUUAACUUAAGCUAAACGCUUCGCCUUGGGCCAAUUGCAGCCCCUCAGCUCCCUCCCUUUUUUGCCAGCCUGAAUUUCACCGAAGUCGAGUCUGCACUCAGUUUAGCCAUUAAAUAGUUUGUUAAAAUUUGCCUUAUAAGAUUAUUAAAUUUUCGCAAUUUAGGCAGAAUUCGUUUUGGCAUUUUCAGGUCCCCGAAACGUACACAGAAAACAAUAUUUGAAGUCUUUUGAUUAACGGACGGGUAGAAAAUUUGGGAAUGAUAAAUGACACAGGCGUAAGCGGCUUAAAAAUGCCAAAAUUUUUGGGUUAAGUUUAUUAAAUUACUGAGGGUUUUCCUAAUAAAAGUUAAAAAAGUAGUGUGCAAAUUGGCGACGGGAAAAUAAAUUUAUUUUUGAGGGUUUUUGAACUUGCAAAACUAUUUCCUGUUCAAAAUAAGAUUUAAAUAUGUUAAAAGUUAAAUUACUGUUGUGAAGACUGAAAUUUAAGAUUUUUGCAACUGAACUAUGGGCGGGAAGUAAUGGUUUAACAUUUCUCCAACUGGCCAGUAAAUCAUUUCUAAUCCAUCGCUUCUGGGCUUUGUUUGGGCCCCAACUACCAUCCUUACAAGCCCGGGUUCUACAUGCCACACUCACACUCACACGCACAUGUGGGCCAAAAUGUAUCUGCAGCUUGCAUAACUCUUCUUUCGCCACGUGUAGGAAAGGGUCAGCAAGAAGGGCGCAGCGGGGGAUGAGGUGGAAAUGGGGCUGAAGGAUGAACAGCCAAAUUCGCAUAACCCCCCAGAGUGCAUGCCUGGCAUGUCCCCAUGCCCGUUCUCAGGCCAUCCUUUUCGAAACUUCUCCCUGCGAACCACAUCAUGGUGUUCACUAUUGCUAUCGAUGUGUGUAAGUUGGGUUAUCGACAUGUGAGCACUGGUGAAAGACUCAAGAAGAUACGGUCGAAAUUCCUAAUGUGGAAGUUCCUCCAGAUUACAUUUAAUCUUGGAAACAUUAAGAAAAUUCUUGGGAAUUGACGUAUAAGUACAGAAACAAGAUGUACUGAAGGGACAAUACCAGUAUUAUUGAGAUCAAAUAAAUUCGUAAAAGCUUUGUAUUUAAACUCAAUUGAUAAUUUCGGCACACUUCCACAUAUAAAACUGUAAAAAAACUGAGCUACAAAACGUUGAUUGUUUAAUUUUAUAAUUUCGUGUGAAUUCACGUUUUAAAUCUAUAUAAUCACUCAUCUACUAAAUAAUACAUUUUAAAAUCUAGAUAAAUAGUUAGUACACUAAAGUAACAUUAAAACCAUUUUCAAACAUCCUGUAAUCCCUGAUAGUCUCACAAUUUCUUUGGCGUAUGGUUCGUUGUAGGCGGCUUAAGCUGUAAGCUCUAUAUAAGGCAAUAUAAAUUGUGGGCAAGAGAGUUUCUCUGACAAGCGAUGCGAUGACGACGACGUUGACUACGUCAAUUGGGUCAGAGCGGCUACAGUAAGAACAACAAUCUAGAAAACAACAACCACAACGAUUUCAUUGGAUACAUGGAAGACUAUGGGGGCUCCACUGGAAAACCGGGCGCAAAAGUAGCCACUUUAAGAAGCCCACAAAUCGAAACCACACAUAUACGAAUCAAGAGUGUUAGAUAUGCCGUUUGCUUUUGAUUCUCUGUUGUUGUUCCUCUCAUUUACAGUUGCUUUGCAUACACAUUAAAGUUAAUUUCGAAUCGCUUUUAAA